UACGGGGGGGCAAGCGUUGUUCGGAAUUACUGGGCGUAAAGGGCUCGUAGGCGGCCAACUAAGUCACACGUGAAAUCCCUCGGCUCAACCGGGGAACUGCGUGUGAUACUGGAUGGCUCGAGUCCGGGAGAGGGAUGCGGAAUUCCAGGUGUAGCGGUGAAAUGCGUAGAUAUCUGGAGGAACACCGGUGGCGAAGGCGGCAUCCUGGACCGGCACUGACGCUGAGGAGCGAAAGCCAGGGGAGCAAACG
RNAcentral lists this ribosomal RNA (250 nucleotides) under uncultured bacterium. RNAcentral describes it as "partial 16S ribosomal RNA". It matches the Rfam family "Bacterial small subunit ribosomal RNA", at positions 524 to 774 of the family's 1533-position model. The record is from RNAcentral.